GUAGGUGAACCUGCGGAAGGAUCAUUAAUACGUAUCCAACGUUAAACCCCCCCUGUGAACCUGCACCCAGCUCCUGGGACUGACAUCUAUCUAUAUCCAGGCGAGUUGGCAAGUGGAGGCUGAUCUUGGACAAGUAGUUUCUGAAAGCGAUACUAUUUGGAGAUACUGGCUACCUUCGCGUAGCUACCACUGGAGGCCGACACGGCCGGUGGCCAGGUCCUGGCUAAGGCCCCUCAUAUUAACCCCUUGA
Molecule: unclassified non-coding RNA, 250 nt
Filed under: plant metagenome
Description: partial contains small subunit ribosomal RNA, internal transcribed spacer 1, and 5.8S ribosomal RNA
Source: RNAcentral